This 1229-nucleotide long non-coding RNA is filed under the name Mytilus galloprovincialis (Mediterranean mussel). Lineage: Eukaryota; Metazoa; Mollusca; Bivalvia; Mytilida; Mytilidae. The record is from RNAcentral.
UUUUUAUUCAAAUGAUUUUUAUCACUCAUUUUAUUUAUAUUUAAACUAAGUCAUAUGCUUAUUAUAAGAAACAAAUACAAUCAACUUCAUUGAUAAGUAAACAUUAAAGUACUGUUGAGUCAUUAUUUUUUGUGGGAUAUAAGUUUUCAUAGAACGUGAACCAAACCACAUAUCAAUGAAGUACAAAUUAUGUAUCCUAUUGCAUGCUGACUUUAGGCCACAAUUAAAAAUAUUUUGGUUUGCCCAAACCCUACCCAAGGUUGAGACAGUGGGUAGGUAGGUAGGUAGGCAUUUUCUUUUUUCUUAAAGAAAUUUACGUUUUGGAUGUUUAUUAGUCUUCAUGCCUAUCUGAUUAAAAAAAAACUUCUUCAAAUCAGGACAAUAAAAGAAUUUGAGUAGGCAGCUUUUUUCUGGGUAGGUAGGGUUUGGGCAAACAAACCUAUUCUUUUUUAUGGCCUUAGCAAAACCAUGAAAUCAAAUAUCUACAAAAUUAGAUUUAUCCAAAGUAUAAAAUUAUACUGUGGAUUCAUUUAUUUUCGUGGGUACAAAUUUUCGUGGAUUACCAGAAACCUGCAUGUUCGUGGAUAUUUAAUUUAGUGGUUUUGCCGAAGUCUGCAUAUAAGCCUAUAGGAAAUUUGUUAUUCGUUGAACAUUUAAUUUCGUGGUUCACCUGUACCCAUGAAAGCAACGAAAAUUGGUAUCCAACGAAUAAUAAUGAAUUUACGGUAAUUGAAUACACAGUCCGAUUCAAAGUGAGAUAUUAUGCCCACAUUUCCCUUACAAGGUUAUGUUCUAAUAAUAAUUACCUCUACACAUAAAAUUUCUGCUCCUAAAAAUUUUGAUGGUAUGUACCAUUAAGACAAAUCCUAAUAACCCCUAAAAUAGUAUUUUUGAAAUAGUUAGUUUUCUUUACCCUGUAUCAGACUAAUGAAACCAUACUUCUAGCAAUAGAUAUAAUAUAUAGUGAGCCAGUCAUUUUAUUUAAUCAAAGUGAUGGAAAUCACUCAUGGAAAGAUUAGAAGAGUAGUUUGAAUUAUUUCAUAUCAAGGUAUGGUGGAGAAAAAUGAACAUUUAUAAAGCACUAUUGCUGAAAAUUGCAUUUACAGCAGGUCUUUAGAAGGAAACUUGCUUUUCCAGUAUGAGGAUAAAAUGAGCUCAAAUUAAAUAAUAUGGGUCUCUUAAUUUGCACAAUUUUAUUUAAACUGCAGUUUAUAUCUUAUCAAAAUUAU